This 479-nucleotide ribosomal RNA is filed under the name uncultured bacterium. RNAcentral describes it as "partial 16S ribosomal RNA". It matches the Rfam family "Bacterial small subunit ribosomal RNA", at positions 28 to 507 of the family's 1533-position model. The record is from RNAcentral.
GAUGAACGCUAGCGGGAGGCCUAACACAUGCAAGCCGAGCGGUAUUUGUUCUUCGGAACAGAGAGAGCGGCGCACGGGUGCGGAACACGUGUGCAACCUGCCUUUAUCUGGGGGAUAGCCUUUCGAAAGGAAGAUUAAUACCCCAUAAUAUAUUGAGUGGCAUCACUUGAUAUUGAAAACUCCGGUGGAUAGAGAUGGGCACGCGCAAGAUUAGAUAGUUGGUGGGGUAACGGCUCACCAAGUCAAUGAUCUUUAGGGGGCCUGAGAGGGUGAUCCCCCACACUGGUACUGAGACACGGACCAGACUCCUACGGGAGGCAGCAGUGAGGAAUAUUGGACAAUGGGUUAGCGCCUGAUCCAGCCAUCCCGCGUGAAGGACGACGGCCCUAUGGGUUGUAAACUUCUUUUGUAUAGGGAUAAACCUACUCUCGUGAGAGUAGCUGAAGGUACUAUACGAAUAAGCACCGGCUAACUCCGUG